Pelodiscus sinensis (Chinese soft-shelled turtle) is the source of this 3505-nucleotide non-coding RNA. The record is from RefSeq and is a predicted model, not a curated record. NCBI's taxonomy places the organism in Eukaryota, Metazoa, Chordata, Testudines, Trionychidae.
GCUGGCACCAUGCAUGUGCCGCGCGCUGGGGGGGGUGGGCCAGCCCAGAUGUUUUGGCGGGUGCGCAUAAAUGCCCCAGCGGGUGCCAUGGCACCCGCAGGCACCGCAUUGAGGACCACUGCUCUGGAAAAUUAGAUCUUUGCAUGUGUCACACGCAAUAGGAGGUUACUCACCUGCCUGUAACUGACAUUCUUCGAGAUGAGCGUCCCUGCGGGUGCUCCAUAUCAGGUGUUGAGUGCCCAGCAUUUCGUCGGAUUUUUCUGAGCAAUGUAUCUGGGGCUGCGCAUGCGCGAGCCUCCCUCAGUACUAUCACUGCGCCCCCCCCACCUUCAGUUUCUUCUCUAUCCGGAACCCAGCAAAUAAUAUAUAAUUAAGAUAUCAUAGGGGCAUUCCAAAGUAGAGGGGAGGAAGAAAGGGUAAUGGAGCACAUCCAGGGAUGCUCAUCUUGAAGAACGUCAGUUACAGUAAGGUGAGUAACCUCCUUUUCUUCAUCGAGAGGUGUCCCUGCGGUUGUUCCACAUCAGGUGACUACAAGCAAUAUUUUCUUACGGAGGCAGGGACUUCGGAUCAGGUAAGUAUGCCAUUUGUAGUACAGCUUUUGCUAGUUUGGUAUGCUGGAGGGGUCCUGAGGUAAGUGCCUAAUGUUUUGCAAAGGUGUUUUCUGACGACAUGCAGUGGGAUUUUCCUCAGGUAAGAAACGGACGUGGCAACUGCCCUUGUGGAGUGUGCCUGAAUCGGAAUUGGUGAAGGUAUGGGUUCAAAUGGUGGUUUUGUGAGGGUUGUUAAUACCAAGUAUAAGUCACAAGGCCCUUGAGGGGGUGCCACCUAUGGUUAUAGAGCCUGGAGACCUUUCAAAAAUCGCUUGGUUACUGGGUGUGCAAAGACUGUAGCGUCUUUCACUGUUAUGUGGAAGGUUGCAACGGCUGCUAGGUGGACCCUGAUUGAGCUGAGGGAGAGAUGUGAGUGUUUGAGGUGUAGCACGUAUUCCAGUAGAUCAGGAAGUGGAGUGUCUUGUGGUCAUAUGUUACGAGAGGUUGCCCAGUGAACAAAUCGAAUCCAUUUGCUCAUGUAUGUUUUUCUUGUUGCAGGUGCUCUGCUUUGUAAGAGAACAUCACAGACUUGUUGAAAGCACUGCAGUUCUAUGCCCGUGAACCAUCUAGGUACCACACCUUGAGAUGGAGUGUGCGAAACUGUGGUAACCGAAGAUCAAGGAUUGGCCUCCGACCGCCUGUCUUCUUCUCUACAAGAAAAUAAUGGGUUUGGAUACCAAGUGACUGCAAUAUGGAUCUGGAAUCUUUCAUCGAUUGGAGCAGUUCAUUGGUCUUUGCAGAAAAUAGCUUUUCUCCAUCGAACAGAAGGUCUUCAACUGAUGGUUGCGCUUGGCAGGGAAAAGCAGAAGAGGCUCAUCUCAUAGUGACUGCUGUUGCCGUAGUCCUUGUAGCUGUGUUUGUUGCAUCAAGUGCAGCUUGCAGGGCUAUUUGUGGUAUCUGACCUUCUGAAACAAGAGCCUGAAACUGUGCCUUUUUGCUGUCAGGGAUAUCUUCAAUAAAAGUAUUGAACUUUGUAUAAUUAUUGAAGUCAUAUUUACUUAAUAAAGCCGCAUAGUUCGCCACUCUCAUCUGAAGAGUGGCAGAGGCAUAAACCUUCUUUCCGAACAUGUCCAUACGUUUAUUGUCCUUUUUGGAUGGGAUGGAAUGAUUUUGGCUUUUUGUUUCUCUGCUAUGAGGGAGUUGAGUGGAGGGUGAGAAAAGAGGAAUUGAGAACCCUUGGGGGGAACAUAGUAUUUUCGAUCAGCUUUCUUGCAUGUUGGUGGGAUGGAUGCAGGUGUUUGCCAUAGGGUUUUAGCGGGCUCCAAGAUAGCUGGAUUAAUAGGAAGUGCCAUCUUUGUUGCUGUACUGGCCUGGAGGAUUAGUGAGUUCAUGUUGAGAAACCUGAAUUUCUUCCAUAGAUAUAUUCAAAUCAAUAGCAACUCUUUUAAAUAAAUCUUGGAAAGAGGAAAUCAUCAUCGGUGGUAUGAGUAGCAGGUGAUAACAAAGCCAACUCUAUGGCUGAGGCUGCGUUUGAAUGUUAUGUAGAAGCCAACAUCAGAGAGCAGUGGCUUUCACUGUCAGUUCCCUUCAUAGAGGUGUGGGGUGACAGGUUUAAAAGAGAGCAGGGUUUCGCCAUAUGCUUCGUCUUACAUGGUCUCUUUUUAUAUUGUUGAGGUGGUUGAUUGAACAUUUUCCACUAUGGGAGGAAAAGCAUAGGCGGUGGCUCAAAAAAUAAGGAGCCCAGGGAGCCAUUUGUGCUCUAAGAAAAUCUGGUUGCGGCUGAUCAGCAGACCAUGUAGAGCCCUCCAUAUAUGGCUGAGGUGAAAAAGCAGGUAAAUAUUCCUCAUCGUCCUGGGGGGGAGGAGGGGAAGUCAGAGUAAUCAGAGAAUGGAGAUUGAGGAUGUAUAUUAUCAAAUUAUGCGAAUGUAAAGUGGGAGAGAUUGCCAGGUCUUUGUGGUCCUUGUGGCUAAUGAGGGGAGUAUGCAGCAUGGAUAGCUCUGCUGACUGUAAACAAAAGUUGCCCUGCUCAUCUGAGGUGUUGCCCCUGGUAACACGAGAGGGGGGCCAGCACCCAGCAGCUGAUCUAUGAGGGGAUUCCUCGAUGCUGUGAUAGGAGCGGGAAGAUCUCCUAUGGCCCGUAGUAGGGCGUGAGGCAGGCACUGGAAGACCUGAUGCCAGUAAAGGGUAGACUUUUUUGCCUUUUUAUUGCCCUUUCUGUGCUCACCCAAAGUGCCAGGGAUGUCAAACCUGCUCAAGCUGUUAUUGCCUGAGCACUGUGUAUUUCUCCCCUCAGCGUGCAGCUUUCUGGGCUGCUGACUCAGAGAGCUCAUCCCUGCCUUUGAUGGCUUAGGGAAUGUUUGCCUCAUAGGUGUAUUGCUCAGACCCAAGCCCGGGUCAGAGGUAUGGUGUUUGUCCUUGUCAAAGAAUGACAUUUUAAAUCACAGCUGUCUGUUUUUGCGUGUUUUUGUCUUAGCGCAGUUGGUGAGGCAUUAAUUUCUUGCAGAGCCUGCAGCUUUCAAAGCCGGGUGGCUGGAGAUCGCAGUUCAGGACUGCGGGCGGUUGGGUUUUUCUUUUAACUAACUCUAAACAAGUAAAUUAGUUAACUACUAACAGGAACUGUGGAAAUAAACUAACUCUAAACAACUAUUUGAAGAAAGAAGUUUGUGAGGAGAAAUCUUUGCGAGAGCAGGAGAGUUCCAUCUGAAACCGGGGGGCGGUGCAUGCACAAGAGUACUGCGGGAGGCUCGUGCACGCUACACAUGCACAACCCCCAAUACAUUGCUCAGAAAAAUCCAUGGAGAAGCACUGGAAUGCUCAACACCUGAUGUGGAGCACCCUUAGGGACGCCUCUCGACGAAGAAGCCACAUUUUCUACUUUCUCAGUUCACAUGAGAAUCCUGAAAGUUAUAUGCAAUAAGCAGGACUCGCCAAGCGGCGGCGAGCCCCGCUCGUCAGCCACAUGGUUUUGCGCCAUU